CUAUCUGCAGUCGAGCGAGGGUCUUCGGACCCUAGCGGCGGACGGGUGAGUAACACGUAGGCCACCUGCCCAUAAGACUGGGAUAACAUAGGGAAACUUAUGCUAAUACCGGAUAGAGUCUUCUCCCGCAUGAGAGAAGACGGAAAGGUGGCGCAAGCUACCACUUGUGGAUGGACUCUUUGCGGCGCAUUAGCUAGUUGGUGGGCUAACGGCCUACCAAGGCGACGAUGCGUAGCCGACCUGAGAGGGUGACCGGCCACACUGGGACUGAGACACGGCCCAGACUCCUACGGGAGGCAGCAGUAGGGAAUUUUCCACAAUGGACGAAAGUCUGAUGGAGCAACGCCCCGUGAACGAUGAAGGCCUUCGGGUUGUAAAGUUCUGUUGUCAGGGACGAACAAGUACCGUUCGAAUAGGGCGGUACCUUGACGGUACCUGACGAGAAAGCCACGGCUAACUACGUGCCAGCAGCCGCGGUAAUACGUAGGUGGCAAGCGUUGUCCGGAUUAAUUGGGCGUAAAGCGCGCGCAGGCGGCUAUGUAAGUCUGGUGUUAAAGCCCGGGGCUCAACCCCGGUUCGCAUCGGAAACUGUGUAGCUUGAGUGCAGAAGAGGAAAGCGGUAUUCCACGUGUAGCGGUGAAAUGCGUAGAGAUGUGGAAGAACACCAGUGGCGAAGGGCGGCUUUUCUGGUCUGUAACUGACGCUGAAGGCGCGAAAGCGUGGGGAGCAAACCAGGAUUAGAUACCCUGGUAGUCCACGCCGUAAACGAUGAGUGCUAAGUGUUAGGGGUUUCAAUACCCUUAAUGCCGCAGCUAACGCAAUAAGCACUCCGCCUGGGGAGUACGGGUCGCAAGACUGAAACUUCAAAGGAAAUUGACCGGGGGCCCGCACCAACCGCUGGAGCAGGGUGGUUUAAUUCAAAGCAACCCGAAAGAAGCCUUACCAGGUCUUGACAUCCCGCUGACCGCUCUGGAGACAGAGCUUCCGCUUCGGGGCACCGGUAACGGAGGGGGUGCAUGGCUAGUCGUCACCGUCGUGUCGUGAGAUGUUUGGGUUAAAUACUCCGCAACGAGCGCAACCCUUAUCUUUAGUUGCCAGCAUUCAGUUGGGCACUCUAGAGAGACUGCCGUCGACAAGACGGAGGAAGGCGGGGAUGACGUCAAAUCAUCAUGCCCCUUAUGACCUGGGCUACACACGUGCUACAAUGGUUGGUACAACGGGAUGCUACCUCGCGAGAGGAUGCCAAUCUCUUAAAACCAAUCUCAGUUCGGAUUGUAGGCUGCAACUCGCCUACAUGAAGUCGGAAUCGCUAGUAAUCGCGGAUCAGCAUGCCGCGGUGAAUACGUUCCCGGGCCUUGUACACACCGCCCGUCACACCACGGGAGUUUGCAACACCCGAAGUCGGUGAGGUAACCGCAAGGAGCCAGCCGCCGAAG
RNAcentral lists this ribosomal RNA (1436 nucleotides) under Brevibacillus invocatus. RNAcentral's name for it is "bacterial SSU rRNA". It matches the Rfam family "Bacterial small subunit ribosomal RNA". The record is from RNAcentral. Lineage: Bacteria; Bacillati; Bacillota; Bacilli; Caryophanales; Paenibacillaceae.